GAUGAACGCUAGCGGCAGGCUUAACACAUGCAAGUCGAGGGGUAUAGUAGCAAUACUAGAGACCGGCGCACGGGUGCGUAACGCGUAUGCAAUCUACCUUUUACAGAGGGAUAGCCCAGAGAAAUUUGGAUUAAUACCUCAUAGUAUAUAGCCCUGGCAUCAGGAUUAUAUUAAAGUCACAACGGUAAAAGAUGAGCAUGCGUCCCAUUAGCUUGUUGGUAAGGUAACGGCUUACCAAGGCAACGAUGGGUAGGGGUCCUGAGAGGGAGAUCCCCCACACUGGUACUGAGACACGGACCAGACUCCUACGGGAGGCAGCAGUGAGGAAUAUUGGACAAUGGGCGCAAGCCUGAUCCAGCCAUGCCGCGUGCAGGAUGACGGUCCUAUGGAUUGUAAACUGCUUUUAUACGAGAAGAAACACUCCGACGUGUCGGAGCUUGACGGUAUCGUAAGAAUAAGGAUCGGCUAACUCCGUGCCAGCAGCCGCGGUAAUACGGAGGAUCCAAGCGUUAUCCGGAAUCAUUGGGUUUAAAGGGUCCGUAGGCGGUCUUAUAAGUCAGUGGUGAAAUCUCCCCGCUCAACGGGGAAACGGCCAUUGAUACUGUAAGACUUGAAUUAUUAGGAAGUAACUAGAAUAUGUAGUGUAGCGGUGAAAUGCUUAGAGAUUACAUGGAAUACCAAUUGCGAAGGCAGGUUACUACUAAUGGAUUGACGCUGAUGGACGAAAGCGUGGGUAGCGAACAGGAUUAGAUACCCUGGUAGUCCACGCCGUAAACGAUGGAUACUAGCUGUUGGGAGCAAUCUCAGUGGCUAAGCGAAAGUGAUAAGUAUCCCACCUGGGGAGUACGUUCGCAAGAAUG
This 860-nucleotide ribosomal RNA is filed under the name uncultured bacterium. RNAcentral describes it as "bacterial SSU rRNA". It matches the Rfam family "Bacterial small subunit ribosomal RNA", at positions 28 to 896 of the family's 1533-position model. The record is from RNAcentral.